AUUCUACAAACACUGACUCGUAGCUCACAAAAUCGUUCCACGUAUCGAGUCCCUCAUCCGCACGCUUCACCCACUAAAUCCCUCUCUCUCUCUCGGCUCUCUCUGAGAAGGUGGAUCAUUUUUCUAGGGUUUGUGAGCUGAAACUUCAGUUACUGAACAACGAGAGUGGCCGUUGAUUGAUUAGGGAACAUGUCUUCUCUGGGAACUUCAAAGGGAAUUCUAGAGAUCGCAAAGUUUGGGCUCUACGUCUCCGUCCCCAUCGUUCUUAUGUACACCUUCGCCAACAACACUACGAAUCUCCAGAGAUUCAUGGGAAACGUUUUGGUCUGCAGCAUUCUUAUGUUGUGUAUCCACCUGAAGCGCCGAGACCUCCGUCACCAGAGGAAAUGAGAGAGAUGGCGCGAGAACUAGCUAGGAAGAACAAUACCCGUUGAUGCUUUAUUUGGGGUUCUUUUCUUUUGUAACUUGUAAGUGCUUGCUAUAGAGAAAACCAAAAAUGCUGUGUCUUGCAUUUAGAUUUCAGUCGAAAUAAUGGUGAGGCCAGGUGGGUUUUAUUUCAAGUUCAAGUGUGGCCUUGUAAUGUUCCUCAAUCCUACUUAAAAUUUCAAAUCUACUUUGCCCAUUUCAUGCUGUGUGUGGAGGACGAAGGAGCUUUUGUGACUUGGGAUGUAAAUUAUAUGUUGUGAUACACCAUGGAUGGAUUUGAAAGUGACCAAA
This is a non-coding RNA of Prunus avium (sweet cherry), 717 nucleotides long. The record is from RefSeq and is a predicted model, not a curated record. Lineage: Eukaryota; Viridiplantae; Streptophyta; Magnoliopsida; Rosales; Rosaceae.